RNAcentral lists this long non-coding RNA (210 nucleotides) under Panax ginseng (ginseng). Its description in RNAcentral is "long non-coding RNA (PGIN_LNC009548)". Lineage: Eukaryota; Viridiplantae; Streptophyta; Magnoliopsida; Apiales; Araliaceae. The record is from RNAcentral.
UGGAGAAACCAUGCUAUUGAGGAAAUGACCUGGGAGUUGGAAACGGAAAUGAAAGCGAGGUAUCCUCAUCUUUUCAAAACACCAGGUACGUACGUCAAUUUCGAGGACGAAAUUUCAUAAGGAGGGGAGGUUGUAAGACCCCAAAUUAUUAAUAAAUGAAAUUUAUUUUCCUCUAUUUAUUAUUUUGAAAUAGUAAGGGUUGAUUUGAUU